Long non-coding RNA from Trichomycterus rosablanca, 440 nucleotides. RefSeq lists it as uncharacterized. Lineage: Eukaryota; Metazoa; Chordata; Actinopteri; Siluriformes; Trichomycteridae. The transcript has 3 exons. The record is from RefSeq and is a predicted model, not a curated record.
CACAGUCAUUUAAGACAAAAUUGGAAUUAAGCAAGUUCAUCACCAUGAUGAUGUUCACCUGUUCAGCCUUGCAUGCAGCUGUCAACUUUUCUCAGGUGCCCUUGUGCCAGUACCGUGAGUGGUACUUCAGAAGUGGUGACCAUCACAGGCUCGUGGAGAUGGUACUAAAAGAGCUAGGAGCCAUUGCUGAUGACAUUAUCAAGAGAAUCCACGAUUCAACCCCCCACAGCACUGCAGCCCCCACCCCCCCACUGGCUGCCCUCGCCCGAGAGCUGCCAGCCAAAUGUUAAGAAAUCAGCUUGCCGUGUGAAACAGUACAGGUUCAUGAUUACUGUAAAGAGCUGUUUGUGCUUUCAUACAGUCUGUACAGUUUUUAAUGUUUCCUUGACAUGUAUUUUAAGUAAAUAUUUCUGAAGUGAAAUAAAAAAGAGAAGAAUUUU